GUAAGUGUGGGGUCGGCGGCCCGGGUAAUACGUAGGGGUCAAGCGGUACUCGUAAGUAGUGGGCGUAAAGCUUGCGUAGGUGGUUGGGUAAGGCUGUCGUGAAAGCCCGGGGCUCAACCGGGGAACGGCGAUGGAAACUGGGCGACUAGAGUGUGGUAGAGGGUAGCGGAAUUCCUGGGGUAGCAGUGAAAUGCGUAGAUAUCAGGAGGAACAUCCAUGGCGAAGGCAGCUACCUGGGCCAACACUGACACUGAGGCACGAAAGCGUGGGGAGCAAACAGGAUUAGAUACCCCUGUAGUC
This 300-nucleotide ribosomal RNA is filed under the name uncultured Methylarcula sp. RNAcentral describes it as "bacterial SSU rRNA". It matches the Rfam family "Bacterial small subunit ribosomal RNA", at positions 497 to 795 of the family's 1533-position model. The record is from RNAcentral. Lineage: Bacteria; Pseudomonadati; Pseudomonadota; Alphaproteobacteria; Rhodobacterales; Paracoccaceae.